Molecule: long non-coding RNA, 267 nt
Filed under: Elaeis guineensis (African oil palm)
Lineage: Eukaryota; Viridiplantae; Streptophyta; Magnoliopsida; Arecales; Arecaceae
Description: long non-coding RNA (EGUI_LNC042768)
Source: RNAcentral
CCGUUUGUGCAAAACUUGAACAAGCAUGUGAAAGGAGGCAGAGAGAAACAAGCAACAAUACAACCACAAACAACUCCAGCAAUAUUAAUCUGUGUUACAGAAGCAAUCCUUGAAUUAUUUGUCAACGAAUCAAAGAUGUAAAGUAUUUAGGAUCGUUUUGGUAUGGACUUUGCUUGCUUUUUAUUUUCGUUUUCUGAAAGUUCAAAGAAGAAAAUUGAAAAGUAAAGAUUAGACUUUAUUUGCUUUCAAAAAAAGUGAAAAUUCAUU